AGAUUUCCAAAAGUAGUGUGGAAACAAGAACAGCGCAAUAAAUGGAUAAUUGCCGUAAGGAGAAAAAAAUCCCGAUGGAUCUCUAUGGCACCCAAUUUGCAGUGCUCACUUUAUCGGUGGUAGAAAGGCUGAUGAACAAGUCAGUCCCAGUUAUGUUCCAAGGAUAUUUCCCCCGCAGUAAAAAACAAAACGGAUUGACGAAAAUGCGGCAAUAUCGAGGUUUCAACGUUAUAUGGAACGAAGAAACGCGAAAAAAAUAGAAGCAGUUAAUGCUAUUAAUACAACUAAGUAAUACAAGUGACUUUGAAUUGCUGGAAAACAGUGUCAAGAAUAUUCUGCUCGUAUGUUGAAGAAAUAGCAGCUGGUACAUCAAAUUAGGUUUUUUGGCCAGACAAAAAUGUUGUGCAGAAGACAAUGCCAGAAUGCUUCCGUCCGGAGUAUAGUAACACUAGUCAUUAUUGAUUGUACAGAGUUUCCUAUAGAAGUACCAUCAAGUGUUGAUAAUCGUGUGUUUUGCUACUCACUCUAUAAAAAGUGCUUAUUAGUAUUACUCCAGGAGGCUUCAUUUCGUUCAAGUCAAAAGUAAGUGGUGAAAGAAAAAGUGUCUCCCAAAUAACGGUAGUCAGGAUUAGUCGACUACUUAGAAAAUGGGGAUAUUGUAUUGGCUGAUAAGGGAUUUCCGGCAAUAAAGAAGGUAAUUGAUGAAAGUGGAAAAGAAAGUGCUAUUAUUAUGCCACAUUUUCUCCAGAAUAAAGGUGAAUUUACAAGGGAAGAGACCGAUGCAACUUAUAAAAUAGCUCGAGUCAGAAUUCAUGCCGAAAGAAUAAUGCAGCACUUAUAUAUACCUGUAAAUUUAUUUUAUCAUAUUGAUGAUAUAUUACAUGUUUGUUGUGUACUGGUAAACCUGCAACCACCUAUAUUUUCAAACAAAUAAAACAACAGUUAUUUUUUACAAUAUUUACAUUAUUUAAAAAGCUAUUAAAACAUUUUUAAUUUAAAUUUGUUUUUAUUUCACACAUAAAACCUGUAAAUGUUAUGUGACUUUUCAUGUCUGAAGGACCCUUAUGCACAUGGAGCAUAAGGAACCACAGACAUUGACCGCCACAUAUUUAUAACAUGGGCCUGUGGACCUAUGAAAAUGUGUCAGUCAGGUUAGGGUUUAAUAUGACCAAGCACUGGACUGAUCAACAUUUUCAUAAGUCUAAUGUACAGUUGAAUUGAAAGGCGAAUACAACAAACAUGGAACAAGUACUGGAGCCUAAAAGGUAUAUUUAAAAGUAACAUGCCAAUAGCCAUUAAAACUAAAGUCCUAAACUCAAGUGUCUUGCCAUGUAUGACAUACGGAAGCCAAACUUGGAAAUUCACGGCAAAAGCUCAAAGAAAAAUCAUUACAUGUCAACGGGCGCUAGAAAGAAGCAUGCUCAAUAUAAGAAAAAUAUAUAACAUAAGACACUCAAAAAUAAGAGAAAAAACAGGAGCAACAGAUGCCUUGAGCUAUGCAAAAAGACUAAAAUGGAAGUGGGCAGGCCACACAGCAAGGCUUACAGAUAAGAGAUGGACAUUAAUAGUCACCAAAUGGAGAGGUCCACUUGGCAAAAGAGGCCGGGGCAGACCACAAAUGCGUUGGGAGGAAGACUUAAAAAGAACAGCCGGCACAGAGUGGAUGGCGACAGCACAAGACAGGGACAAAUGGGCAGCAAUGGAGGAGGCCUUUACCCACUAGGGAUUCAUUAGUAACAACACAUAUUAUAAGUCAUAGUUUUAUUUUAAUUUUUUUUAUGUAAACACGUUACAAUGAAUAAAGGGCUUUUUUUAUUUUUA
Molecule: long non-coding RNA, 1821 nt
Organism: Cydia splendana
Lineage: Eukaryota; Metazoa; Arthropoda; Insecta; Lepidoptera; Tortricidae
Exons: 2
Source: RefSeq, a predicted model, not a curated record